UAGGUCCAGAUCAGAGUUCGUGAUGCAUA
RNAcentral lists this non-coding RNA (29 nucleotides) under Homo sapiens (human). The record is from RNAcentral. Lineage: Eukaryota; Metazoa; Chordata; Mammalia; Primates; Hominidae.